Molecule: ribosomal RNA, 463 nt
Filed under: uncultured bacterium
Lineage: Bacteria
Description: partial 16S ribosomal RNA
Rfam family: Bacterial small subunit ribosomal RNA
Source: RNAcentral
CCUACGGGAGACAGCAGUGGGGAAUCUUCCGCAAUGAGCGAAAGCCUGACGGAGCAACGCCGCGUGAUCGAAUGAAGGCCUUCGGGUUGUAAAGAUCUGUUGACAGGGACGAAUAAGCCAUGCGAAUAGUUUGGUGUAUGACGGUACCUGUUUAGAAAGCUCCGGCUAACUACGUGCCAGCAGCCGCGGUAAUACGGAGGAUGCGAGCGUUAUCCGGAUUUAUUGGGUUUAAAGGGUGCGCAGGCGGUCUGUUAAGUCAGCGGUCAAAGCCCGGGGCUCAACCCCGGCCCGCCGUUGAAACUGGCAGUCUCGAGUUGGAGAGAAGUAUGCGGAAUGCGCGGUGUAGCGGUGAAAUGCAUAGAUAUCGCGCAGAACUCCGAUUGCGAAGGCAGCAUGCCGGCUCCACACUGACGCUGAGGCACGAAAGCGUGGGUAUCGAACAGGAUUAGAUACCCGGGUAGUC